This 520-nucleotide ribosomal RNA is filed under the name uncultured bacterium. RNAcentral's name for it is "bacterial SSU rRNA". It matches the Rfam family "Archaeal small subunit ribosomal RNA", at positions 345 to 866 of the family's 1478-position model. The record is from RNAcentral.
AACCUCCGCAAUGUGAGAAAUCGCGACGGGGGGAUCCCAAGUGCCAUUCUUAACGGGAUGGCUUUUCUUAAGUGUAAAAAGCUUUUGGAAUAAGAGCUGGGCAAGACCGGUGCCAGCCGCCGCGGUAACACCGGCAGCUCUAGUGGUAGCUGUUUUUAUUGGGCCUAAAGCGUUCGUAGCCGGUUUGAUAAGUCACUGGUGAAAUCCUGUAGCUUAACUGUGGGAAUUGCUGGUGAUACUGUUGAACUUGAGGUCGGGAGAGGUUAGCGGUACUCCCAGGGUAGAGGUGAAAUUCUGUAAUCCUGGGAGGACCACCUGUGGCGAAGGCGGCUAACUGGAACGAACCUGACGGUGAGGGACGAAAGCUAGGGGCGCGAACCGGAUUAGAUACCCGGGUAGUCCUAGCCGUAAACGAUGCGGACUUGGUGUUGGGAUGGCUUUGAGCGCUCCGGUGCCGAAGGGAAGCUGUUAAGUCCGCCGCCUGGGAAGUACGGUCGCAAGACUGAAACUUAAAGGAAUU